This 633-nucleotide long non-coding RNA is filed under the name Elaeis guineensis (African oil palm). RNAcentral describes it as "long non-coding RNA (EGUI_LNC014845)". Lineage: Eukaryota; Viridiplantae; Streptophyta; Magnoliopsida; Arecales; Arecaceae. The record is from RNAcentral.
CACUUUUUGCAUUGAAAAAAGAAAAAUACAAUGAUACAGUUUGGUACUUCAAAAAGUUAUAUACCUUUUCAAAAUAGAGGUUACCAAUCUAAUCCAAACUUUCAAUUCACCAAUAUAAGUCCAUCAAGAGAGAUAAGUCAAUAACAUACCUAUAAUUUUGAAUUUGCUAAGUAGCUUCUCUUUGCUCGGAUGCUUCUCCAUCGUGACUCAAACUGAGCAACUUCUCAUCCUUUGUCCAUCUCCAUACUAAAUUCUUUGGGAACCUCUUCCUCAUCCCAUCAAUCACCAUCUUUGCCUCCUCAACCUUCGCCAACUCCUCCACCAAAAGCCUCACUGUUUGAAAAAUCUAGAACCUUACUAUGCUAACCACAUCAGAAAAAAUAAAGGAAAAACAUCAUCAACAACAAAAUAUACAGAAGAAUCCAAACGAAUGCCAAAAAAAAAAAGAAAAAAAAGAGAUCUACGUUGCCCUGCCAUAAUGGGAGCUCAUAGAGAUCUUGGAAAGCCCACCAUUUCCUUCUAAAAUUUGGACACCUGGAGAAUAUGUUCUUUGAUGCAAGCUCGCCAUAGCGGUUUUAAAGUUCUAGACCAAAAGAAUCAAAGAAAGAGAUUCAAGUUCGCUAAAAAUUCAAC